AAUCAACGCUGGCGGCGUGCCUCAGACAUGCAAGUCGAACGAUUAAGACUCUCUUCGGAGAGUGCAUAAAGUGGCGCACGGGUGAGUAACACGUAAGUAAUCUACCUUUGGGUGGGGAAUAACAGUCGGAAACGACUGCCAAUACCGCAUAAUGCAGCGGCUCCUUAUGGAGACAGUUGUUAAAGAUUUAUCGCCUAAAGAGGAGCUUGCGGCAGAUUAGCAGUUGGUAAGGUAACGGCUUACCAAGGCGACGAUCUGUAUCCGACCUGAGAGGGUGGUCGGACACACUGACACUGAAUAACGGGUCAGACUCCUACGGGAGGCAGCAGUCGGGAAUUUUGGGCAAUGGGCGAAAGCCUGACCCAGCAACGCCGCGUGAAGGAUGAAGUCUUUCGGGA
This 398-nucleotide ribosomal RNA is filed under the name uncultured bacterium. RNAcentral describes it as "bacterial SSU rRNA". It matches the Rfam family "Bacterial small subunit ribosomal RNA", at positions 32 to 423 of the family's 1533-position model. The record is from RNAcentral.